GAUGAACGCUGGCGGCGUGCCUAAUACAUGCAAGUCGAGCGAACGGACGAGAAGCUUGCUUCUCUGAUGUUAGCGGCGGACGGGUGAGUAACACGUGGAUAACCUACCUAUAAGACUGGGAUAACUUCGGGAAACCGGAGCUAAUACCGGAUAAUAUAUUGAACCGCAUGGUUCAAUAGUGAAAGACGGUUUUGCUGUCACUUAUAGAUGGAUCCGCGCCGCAUUAGCUAGUUGGUAAGGUAACGGCUUACCAAGGCGACGAUGCGUAGCCGACCUGAGAGGGUGAUCGGCCACACUGGAACUGAGACACGGUCCAGACUCCUACGGGAGGCAGAAGUAGGGAAUCUUCCGCAAUGGGCGAAAGCCUGACGGAGCAACGCCGCGUGAGUGAUGAAGGUCUUCGGAUCGUAAAACUCUGUUAUUAGGGAAGAACAAAUGUGUAAGUAACUAUGCACGUCUUGACGGUACCUAAUCAGAAAGCCACGGCUAACUACGUG
This 497-nucleotide ribosomal RNA is filed under the name uncultured bacterium. Its description in RNAcentral is "partial 16S ribosomal RNA". It matches the Rfam family "Bacterial small subunit ribosomal RNA", at positions 28 to 507 of the family's 1533-position model. The record is from RNAcentral.